GGGGAAUAUUGCACAAUGGGCGAAAGCCUGAUGCAGCAACGCCGCGUGAGUGAUGAAGGUCUUCGGAUUGUAAAGCUCUGUCUUUUGGGACGAUAAUGACGGUACCAAAGGAGGAAGCCACGGCUAACUACGUGCCAGCAGCCGCGGUAAUACGUAGGUGGCGAGCGUUGUCCGGAUUUACUGGGCGUAAGGGUGCGUAGGCGGAUGUUUAAGUGAGAUGUGAAAU
Molecule: ribosomal RNA, 226 nt
Filed under: uncultured bacterium
Lineage: Bacteria
Description: partial 16S ribosomal RNA
Rfam family: Bacterial small subunit ribosomal RNA
Source: RNAcentral